GGACCUGUAGUUUAAUGGAUAGAAUAACGGGUUUCGGCCCCGUUGAUCCCGGUUCGAAUCCGGGCAGGUCCG
This 72-nucleotide transfer RNA is filed under the name Nanobdellota archaeon. RNAcentral's name for it is "tRNA-Arg". It matches the Rfam family "tRNA". From Rfam's summary of the family: Transfer RNA (tRNA) molecules are approximately 80 nucleotides in length. Their secondary structure includes four short double-helical elements and three loops (D, anti-codon, and T loops). Lineage: Archaea; Nanobdellati; Nanobdellota. The record is from RNAcentral.